AGUGUAAGCCCCUCUUCCCAUCUUCUCGACCGAGGGGGGGAGCGCGAGUCCAUGGCAGAAGAAGCCUCCUACCCCCCCCCCCCCCCCCCCCCUCCCCUCCCUCCCCCGCGUCUCGUCUCUCGUCUCUACCCCGUUCUCUCUCAGCUCUCUCUCUCUCUCUCCUGCAUCUGAGCGUCGUCGGGUUCCUAAAUCCAACCUCCCUCCAUCUACAGAUCCACAAGCUCAUGUUGUUCCCCCUCUGGCGGCGGCGGCGGCGGCGGCGGCAGCGCUAGGGUUCAGCGUCCUUGGAGGAGCCUGUUCCAAUGCUUGCAGGCUGUGGACUAGGCGCAGAGGGAGCGGGACCAAUGCCGCCGGUGGUGGACCGUACAGGGACACCCUGCCUCCAGGCAGCCUUGUCCGCCGUGUUGUGCCCGCGCGAGCAGAUGAGGUCCUACCUCGCGUGCUUGCCGAUGCAGCACCUGCUCAGCCGCUGGACGUCCUCGCUGCUCAGGGUUUGGGCCAUGGAAGCUGCUGCUGGGCUACGGGGCUAGGGGGUUAGCCAAAAUGUUGGUCUCAAAAUCACAGAUAGGUGCUCCAAACUAAAUCCCCCACCCCUCUACUACCUUAGCCCUACGAAUUGGGGUUCAGAUAGUACUAAAUUUGUGGUGCGGCAAGGCCACGCCCUUUUGUGCUCUUGCCAAUGUUACCAGUUAUAAGACUUUGUGCAUACGAAUCUGACUUGAAUUAUUUGCCAAUUAAAUUACAGCAGAUGCUGUUACAGUGCUGCCGGUGGUUAAUAAACAUGGUGUUGACGCCAAGCACUUUUUCUUUCUUAGAUUCAGCUAGUAGGCGAAUGAACGAAAGUUCUCCAUGGGCGCUAGUGCUAUCUUGUUUGUUUUGUCAACUGAGGUAGUAAUGUAGUAUGCAUUUGAGAUCAGCUCGGCAAUACAAGGAAGAGAGAAGUCAUAUAAGAAAAAGGGUGUAGCCUAGGGUGUGCUAAUGAAUAGAUAUGAAAGGAAAUGUAGCCUAGGGUGUGCUAAUGAAUAGAAUGCAACUGCAGGUUUUGUUAUAUGUACUUAAGCGAUUGCUCUGUCUCAUGAAUGUCCAUAGCAUGUUCUUCUCUGCUAAGUUUGUUGUUCACAAAGUUAAGCCAUUUGGCCCAGGGGAUAUUAAUUACCACCAUUCAAUCACUAGCAUUCCCUGGAAUAUUAAUUAGUUGAGGGGAGCACUGAAAUAGAGACAUUAAGGGAUUUUGUUUUGUUACUUUUAGUUCAGCUACUACUAGCUUAGUAAAUUUUUGAUAGAAAUUCAGGGAUUGUAGUUUUUUAUUACUUUGAGUGAUUCUGUCCCUAUGCAAAGUAAUUCCGUUACUGCAUGGUGCUUCAUUCUGAAUGAUUAAUGGUUAGAAGAAUCUUAAGUGAUCAGAAUGAUUAAACUUAUGUCAUCCUGCAUAUAACUUGCUGUUUUUUUGCAACUGCAGUACCUUUAUAGAAUGGAUAAAUACAUGCUUCCUGUUUUAACAAUGCUGCUCCUUUCUUGUGAUAACUUGUGCAGGAUUGGUUUGGCACAGACUUUGUAAUUGCUGAAGCUUUCAAUUUCGAUAUUGUUUCAUUUGUUAAGUUUGCAGAAGUAAUUAAACAUUUGAAAAUCUACAUAGCUUCAGGGAGUCAUGGCAGGUACCAUGGGUACAAUUAUAUACUAUUAUUUUAUGCUUUGUUGGAAAAGCCAUAUUUGUAUUAUUAAACUGAUAACGGGUGUUCCUAGAACUGUUCUGGAUGCUUAGCCACUAGCAACAGUCCACAACUAUUCUUAGUUAAUCUUAGCUAUUCUUUUGUAAUCAACAGGUCUCUGGUGUAGCUUGAUUCCAUAUUCCAUAAUAAAUAGUACAAGAUCUGUUAUGUAAAUGAAUUGUCACUUGUAAUGAUUGAUUCGAAACUUGUACAGCCAAAUCCAGCUAAGACUCGUUUAGGCUUGAAAAAUGCAUGAUAGAAUAGUUCAUUUUGGACCUAAGUUGGAGAUGUAGACCACUUGGUCAACUUACUACUACUUUUUUAUGAGGUACCAUACGGAUCUACAGUCUUUGAGUUUGUUAUGCGUGAUUUCUUUGCAGGAAUGGUACUUAUAACCAAAGCAAAUACUGUAUCUUAGCAUGUGCACUUGCAUGACUAGAAGUUACAAGCAUAUGUAUAUCUGAUAUUUGGUUAAUGGUAGUGUUAUGGUACUUAUCGUUGUUGCCUUUCUUACCAGUUAAUUACAGAAAAAAGCAAUGGUCGACCACGAACGGAUGCACACUGUUUGGAACACUUGCUGUUUCUUUUCACAAGCUUGAUGAGUGGAAUCAGAGAGGUAGGGUUCAGCAGCACUUCGAGAGGAAAUGGAUGACCAGCAGAGUGAGCUUGAAGACUUAAAGCUAAAGUUCCAGGAAUCUGAAGCAGCAAGGGAGAAUCAAAGGGGAGAGAUCGAAAGUUUGAAGAAGCAAGGAGAGAAAGCAAUGCUAUGGAGUCCAGAGAGUUGUUUUGGCUUUUCAGUGAACAUGUUAUGGAGUUACUUGUCUUUUUUGUUUUGACUUGACAAGUGAUGUUGGGCUGUGAUACGCAUAUGAAUCUGGUGGUUUUUGGACAAGUGAUGACAAGCUGUACUAAAUAUUAUGUGAAGUGACCCGUUGUUUUGAAGGAAUGUGUUGUUUUGAAGUGAUCUCA
This is a long non-coding RNA of Panicum virgatum (switchgrass), 2678 nucleotides long. RefSeq lists it as uncharacterized. NCBI's taxonomy places the organism in Eukaryota, Viridiplantae, Streptophyta, Magnoliopsida, Poales, Poaceae. The record is from RefSeq and is a predicted model, not a curated record. The transcript has 3 exons.